CACCCACAACUGCCAGGGCACCUUUCAUGGAGGGCAUCCCUCCAUGAUUAGGCUUCUGGUGUUGGCAGAUUUAAAAGAGGGCAGGGAAUACCCUCUCACCCCAACCAGAAGGGUGAACACAUCCCACUCUGUUACUGCCUGGAAAGGGUUAAAGAGGUGCCUCAUUACCUACCCAGGCUGCAAUCAGUUGCCCAAUUGCAAACUGCUGAAGUACAACAGACUUAAAAGGAAGGGCAGGGCUCCAGCAAGAGUUUAGGAAGUCCUUCACAGUGAUGGCUAGAGGAGUAAGGGGCUGAGGACAACAAGGGCCACAGGAGAGCUGUGAUAUCAGCAGUGGCUGUUAACACUCCUAGAGGCUGCUAAAGCUACAUGAGCAAGAGGAGCUGGAAUUAGCACGUUCUUGAAGAGAAGAACACCUUGAAGGUCAGCGUGUGACUGGGACCCACUGAAACACCCUCUGCUGUGUUACCUGCAACUCCUAACAACCGCUACAAACCCUCCAGGCAACUUGGUGAUUCUGAUGAGGGGAAAAAUAAACCCAAACAUUUCAACAUCAGCACUAGAGGAUUUCACAGGCUCAGUCUAACUUCAAGGAAGCUGUAGGGGAACCCAAAAAGGUUUCCAUUGGAUGCCUACCUAUUUUCCACUGCUUUUCUUCUGGUGGUGUGCUGGGGAGAAGGCAGGACUGCUCCAGUAUCUGUUUCCAAAGCCACCUGCUGCUGGGCAAAGCGCUUCUCCUCAUCCAGCCGAUGGGCAGCGCAGUCCUUGGCUCUCGGCUGCCUCCCCUUCCACAGAGGAGGUUAAAAAAAGAAAACUCAAACCUCAAACCAACCAAAAACAAAAAGAAAAGCAACCCUUUAAACUCUAUUUCCGAUUCCGCUUUGAAAAGGAAGUACUUUACUUUCUGUGUAGCUCCAACAAUGACCCUCUUUGCUGCCUGUAUGUUAAACUGCUUUCCUCUGUCUCAUUGAAUCCCUGUGGAUUUUAAGUAGUUUGAUGUAUAUUUUAAGGCGCUCUCUGCCAUUUCCUUGCCAAGGAUAUUUUUAGGUAGCCAUUAUUUUGCUCGGACAUACGAAAAGCCAAGUUAUUUCUAUUGCUGGCUGUGCAAAUCCCAUUCCUGAGGCUGUGCUGAAAUGGCUGAUGCCAGGAUGCAGACAACAGUGGUUUUGGCACGGCCGGGAGGCGAAAUCACUCUUGGCAAGAGCAGCCCAGUUGUUUAUUUCAUCUCUGCUCAGGGUGAGGGGCUGGGUGGGGAAGGGAGGGAUUAAUGUUUGCUACAUGGCGGAGAACAAAACGGGGAAAAUUAAGUUUCAGUAUUGUGGAAACACUAUAAACAGUGGGGGGAGAAAUAAUUGACAUUACUUUUUCAACACUCAGGUUAGCUUAAGCUUACCUUUGUCUUUUUAAGGACUUGUGCCUUCCUAUUCUGUGAACCAGUGCAAAAUUGCUUGCUAGCUGUGAAGCAGCCUGCUUUCCUCACUGUGGAAUAGCAGGAUUAUUUAAAGUUGUUAUUGGAAGUGGGAAAGACAACUCAGCUGGUCAGAUGAAGAGACUUUAAAUCAGGCUUAUAGCAAAUUGUACUCGGAUAUGACAAUUUCACUGGGGAUACUGCAAGGAAGUUAUGAUUAUAGCUCAUAUAACAAGCUGAGAAGUGACAGUAAGAAACUGUGAGCACAUUAAAAACAAAAGCAUUAUGUGAUCUGGGUGGUCAUGAAGAUACUGCAGUGUUUGUUUAUAAAAAUUAUCAUUACCUGUUGGACAUUACUCUGGCUACCAGUGAUAUGAUUAAUUGAGCUUGUUUUAAGCUAGGAUAGAUGGUCUAACCAUGAAUGGUGUCCUAGAUUACACCCUGAAGUGUCAGCAUCAUUGAUGGCAGCUUCCAUCUUCAGGAUGUCUUCAUGGCAGCCUUCUGGAUGUGCUGUUUUCAGAUAAUAACAGGGUGUGAAGUGUUCUGCUGUCAGUAAAAUAUCAACACAGGCAGCUCUCAGCAGGUAACUGGGAAUAAAAGAAUCUUGAAGUCAUCUUAAGAAUCUGCAGAUUAGGUUUUACUGUUGCUUUGACAGUCUAGAAAGAGUAAAUAUGAGAACUGACAGUGCCUGAAAAUUCGGGGUGCAAAAGGACCUCACAGGAUGGAGUCAGGAGUGUCUGUGUAAAUAGUGGCAAGUACAAUUAGUAAGAAGCAAGGACCGUGUAAGAGUUAACUGGUAUAGGCACUGAUCUUUUAAGAUCACAAGUGUUUUUGGCCAGGGGCUCUGGAAAGAAAUUGUAAAGGCUGGUGGCUACAGGCUUAGCAGCUCAGCUGAGCAGUGAGGACAGCAUUCCCCUGUGCAUCCCCUGAUUUAUCUCUUUUAUUCUUAUCAACUUCCAAAGUGAGACUGACUGUGUGUGGGACUCCUGUGGCCAAGCUUCUUGUGUAGGUUGCCUGAGGAAGGAGUUAAGCAGAGAACAGCUUUCUCCUAUAAUUAACUUGCAAGGGAAAGGCUGUUUCUCAGCCGUGCCGGUUGGGACCAGUGAAGGAGACUGGCUUGCUGCUGAAAGCGCAGUACUAUCAAGGAAUAACUGAUCACAAGAGAAUCCAUCUUAAAAGAAGCUCAAAAUAAAUUAACUGGAAGAUGCAGCUCUGCACCUUUCAGCUUCUUAAAGAGCUUUCUCUGCCUCACAGCUCAAGACCCGGCUCCUGUAACAACUGCAACUGCUGCAGCUCUGGAUGAUUUUCCAGAGACAGGAUCAGAAUUGGGGGGUCAGCCAGGGGGGAUCAGCACAGUCCCCACUUGCUGCAGAACAAGGAGAUCAUGGUGGGACCAGGCUGGAGGCACAGUCCCAGAUAGGCCUUGCUGAUUCAUAUGUGGGUAUCAGCUGGAGCUGGUCUCUGCUGCAGGGCACUAUUCAGGGAUGGUGU
Long non-coding RNA from Columba livia (rock pigeon), 2899 nucleotides. RefSeq lists it as uncharacterized. The record is from RefSeq and is a predicted model, not a curated record. The transcript has 2 exons. Lineage: Eukaryota; Metazoa; Chordata; Aves; Columbiformes; Columbidae.